RNAcentral lists this ribosomal RNA (754 nucleotides) under uncultured bacterium. RNAcentral's name for it is "bacterial SSU rRNA". It matches the Rfam family "Bacterial small subunit ribosomal RNA", at positions 645 to 1398 of the family's 1533-position model. The record is from RNAcentral.
AGUGCAGGAGAGGUUAGUGGAAUUCCCAGUGUAGCGGUGAAAUGCGUAGAGAUUGGGAGGAACACCAGUGGCGAAGGCGACUAACUGGACUGUAACUGACGCUGAGGCGCGAAAGUGUGGGGAGCAAACAAGAUUAGAUACCCUGGUAGUCCACACUGUAAACGAUCAUAAAAGGUGUAGGGGGGAUUCGACCCCUUCUGUGCCGCCGUCAACACAUAAAGCAUUCCGCCUGGGGAGUACGGCCGCAAGGUUGAAACUCAAAGGAAUUGACGGGGGCCCGCACAAGCAGCGGAGCAUGUGGUUUAAUUUGACGCAACGCGAAGAACCUUACCAGGUCUUGACAUCCACUUAAAUUUACAGAGAUGUAAGGUGUGCUUGCACAAAGUGAGACAGGUGGUGCAUGGUUGUCGUCAGCUCGUGUCGUGAGAUGUUGGGUUAAGUCCCGCAACGAGCGCAACCCUUAUCUUCAGUUACUAACGCGUGAAGGUGAGGACUCUGAAGAGACUGCCGGGGACAACUCGGAGGAAGGUGGGGACGACGUCAAAUCAUCAUGCCCCUUAUGACCUGGGCUACACACGUGCUACAAUGGCCACGACAGAGAGAAGCGAAAUCGCAAGGUAGAGCGGAACUCAAAAAAGUGGUCCCAGUUCGGAUUGUGGGCUGCAACCCGCCCACAUGAAGUCGGAGUUGUUAGUAAUCGCGGAUCAGCAUGCCGCGGCGAAUACGUUCCCGGGCCUUGCACUCACCGCCCGUC